GCACAAUCCUAAAACAAAACAUGACAACAAAGAACAAAAUGAAAGGACCCCUGUUCAAAAGUCUGUAUACUUUUAGUUUUUACUACUGUGUAUUGCCACCUUUAGCAUCAAUUACAGUGUGCAGUCUUUUGUAAUAGUUGUCUGAGGCCCCUAAUUCUUGCAGGUGGGAUAGCUGCCUAUUCGUCUUGGCAAAAUGCCUCCAGGUCAUGCAAAGUCUUUGUUCGUCUUCAGAUCUAACCAGAGUGGCUCGAUGAUAUUAAGGUUAGGAGACUGUGAUGGCCACUCCAGAAC
Molecule: non-coding RNA, 291 nt
Organism: Pelobates cultripes (western spadefoot toad)
Lineage: Eukaryota; Metazoa; Chordata; Amphibia; Anura; Pelobatidae
Source: the annotation of a GenBank genome assembly